RNAcentral lists this ribosomal RNA (498 nucleotides) under uncultured bacterium. Its description in RNAcentral is "partial small subunit ribosomal RNA". It matches the Rfam family "Bacterial small subunit ribosomal RNA", at positions 26 to 521 of the family's 1533-position model. The record is from RNAcentral.
AGGACGAACGCUGGCGGCGUGCUUAACACAUGCAAGUCGAGCGGAAAGGCCCUUCGGGGUACUCGAGCGGCGAACGGGUGAGUAACACGUGAGUAAUCUGCCCCUAGCUCUGGGAUAGCUCCGGGAAACCGGGAUUAAUACUGGAUACGACCACCUUAGACAUCUUUUGUGGUGGAAAGAAUUUCGGCUAGGGAUGAGCUCGCGGCCUAUCAGCUUGUUGGUGGGGUAACGGCCUACCAAGGCGACGACGGGUAGCCGGCCUGAGAGGGCGACCGGCCACACUGGGACUGAGACACGGCCCAGACUCCUACGGGAGGCAGCAGUGGGGAAUAUUGCGCAAUGGGCGAAAGCCUGACGCAGCAACGCCGCGUGAGUGAUGAAGGCCUUCGGGUCGUAAAGCUCUGUCGGAGGGAACGAAUGCUCCUGAGGUUAACAGCCUCGGGAAGUGACGGUACCCUCAAAGGAAGCACCGGCUAACUCUGCGCCAGCAGCCGCGGU